GAUGAACGCUGGCGGCGUGCUUAACACAUGCAAGUCGAACGGGAAACCUUUUAAUGAAGCUUCGGCAGAUUUAGCUGGUUUCUAGUGGCGGACGGGUGAGUAACGCGUGGGUAACCUGCCUUAUACAGGGGGAUAACAGUCAGAAAUGACUGCUAAUACCGCAUAAGCGCACAGGACCGCAUGGUCCGGUGUGAAAAACUCCGGUGGUAUAAGAUGGACCCGCGUUGGAUUAGCUUGUUGGUGGGGUAACGGCUCACCAAGGCGACGAUCCAUAGCCGGCCUGAGAGGGUGAACGGCCACAUUGGGACUGAGACACGGCCCAGACUCCGACGGGAGGCAGCAGUGGGGAAUAUUGCACAAUGGGGGAAACCCUGAUGCAGCGACGCCGCGUGAAGGAAGAAGUAUCUCGGUAUGUAAACUUCUAUCAGCAGGGAAGAUAGUGACGGUACCGGACUAAGAAGCCCCGGCUAACUACGU
This 477-nucleotide ribosomal RNA is filed under the name uncultured bacterium. Its description in RNAcentral is "partial 16S ribosomal RNA". It matches the Rfam family "Bacterial small subunit ribosomal RNA", at positions 28 to 506 of the family's 1533-position model. The record is from RNAcentral.